AGCGCAGGCGGUUUGAUAAGUCUGAAGUUAAAGGCUGUGGCUCAACCAUAGUUCGCUUUGGAAACUGUCAAACUUGAGUGCAGAAGGGGGGAGUGGAGUUCCAUGUGUAGCGGUGAAAUGCGUAGAUAUAUGGAGGAACACCGGUGGCGAAAGCGGCUCUCUGGUCUGUAACUGACGCUGAGGCUCGAAAGCGUGGGAGCGAACA
RNAcentral lists this ribosomal RNA (205 nucleotides) under uncultured bacterium. Its description in RNAcentral is "partial 16S ribosomal RNA". It matches the Rfam family "Bacterial small subunit ribosomal RNA", at positions 568 to 774 of the family's 1533-position model. The record is from RNAcentral.